Mustela erminea (ermine) is the source of this 957-nucleotide long non-coding RNA. RefSeq lists it as uncharacterized. NCBI's taxonomy places the organism in Eukaryota, Metazoa, Chordata, Mammalia, Carnivora, Mustelidae. The record is from RefSeq and is a predicted model, not a curated record. The transcript is spliced from 3 exons.
CGAGGUGGGCUUGAUGAAGGCGCGUGCUCGCGGGCGUGCGGGGUGGCGGCCCGCGGUCUGCGGAGUUCUUGCUGCGCAGUGUGUGCGCCCUGAGGUGUGGCCCGCGGGGACCCGAGUCCUGGCCGAUCAGUGUCUGAGGCUUCGCCGCAUGCUGAGGUGGAGCUGCAAACCCACCAGCCACGUGAUGAGCAUGGCCACCAGCUGGCCACAUAGCUGCCUCCUGCCUCCCACCUCCCUUGGACCCACCCAGCAUUUGUGGGCCUUCCUUAUGCAGAAUGGAGCUCUGCCUGCUUUUCUAUUUUAAAGAGUAUUCUGAAGAGAAUGCAAUAUAUGUACAAGGUAUACGUUCUUGGGUUCAAUGUGCCUUGUCUUUGAGAUGGGAAGAUGUAGACUCUGAGAUUUAAGGGAGAGAAAUAGGAAUAUUGUGGUAUUGAACCAGCACUGAACACCCCCCACUCAGAUGGAAUGACUGGGAAUUGCUGGAAUGGCGAGGCUAGUCAGAGCUGGUUGUUCUGGGGCCUCAAGUUUCUUUUCGGAGUGUGUAUCAUGGGGCAUAGCCUGUGUUCCCCCGUAUCUCCAUGGACAGAAGGAAUCCUGAGUCCUCAGGAUUCGUACUGAGUGGCCCCUUUGGCCAGGCCAUUAGAAGCUCCAACUUGCUCUACUUCUCAGAAGUUGCUGGGGAGAGAGUACCUGAACCCUCUCAACCGCCCUGGGGCAUGCAGCAACACAAGAGUGGAUCUGAGGAGACCCAAAAGGUGGCUCUGUGGCCACUAGGGAACUGUUCCUACAAAGGACACUGUUCUUUCUUUUUUAAUUUUGUGAUUUAAAUUCAGUUAGCCAACACAUCAUACACCAUUAGCUUUUGAUACAAUGUUCAGUGAUCCGUCAGCUGUAUAUGACAACACCUGGCGCUCACUGUGCCGCGUGCCCUCUUCAGUUCCCAUCACCCAGUAACCC